ACACUAAUAAUGUGACUCCAUUUCUCUGUACGGGAGAAACCCCAACCAUUUUCUUUACCCAUUUCAACACUCAAAAAGGUUAUCACUGCUCCUCUCCAAGCCCCGCCAUCCCUCAGUCGAAGUGCAGCACUUCCACCGUCAUCAUCAACAUUUUUGACCACACUUCGAUCCCACCCAUUUUCCCCAUAUUACGCAGUUUCCUCCUAAAUCCGUUUCGACGUUUAGACGGGAGAAAACCCUCUCCUUACUACCUAGCCGUUGUCGUAGUUGGAGGUACUUUGGGAUGACUUCCACUGAAUGGGCGGUAGGAAUUACGAAAUCUAUCACAGUUGUAGAGCUAAGGGACAUUUCUUUGCUGAUUGCCCACAAAAACACCGAUGCCCAAAUUGUGAGCACGGAUUUGAGAAUUGUUUCGUGGUGGAGAAGGGAAGUGGUCGACCUGAUUAGUAGCUAUUAAUCGAUAUAGUGGCUAGUACAUAAUCUUUUGUAUGAGGUCGAAAUAUUUUCAGCGAAGAUAUGUAAAUUAUGUUUGUAAACAGCGAUCGCAUCUAUGAGAUUAGUCUCAAAGUGCUAUCCUUUUUGUAUAAUCUUGGGAAAAUCUACCUUUUUGUUUAUCUAUUUGUGCUUUCUA
Olea europaea var. sylvestris is the source of this 631-nucleotide long non-coding RNA. RefSeq lists it as uncharacterized. Lineage: Eukaryota; Viridiplantae; Streptophyta; Magnoliopsida; Lamiales; Oleaceae. The record is from RefSeq and is a predicted model, not a curated record. The transcript is spliced from 2 exons.